This 425-nucleotide ribosomal RNA is filed under the name uncultured bacterium. Its description in RNAcentral is "bacterial SSU rRNA". It matches the Rfam family "Bacterial small subunit ribosomal RNA", at positions 355 to 775 of the family's 1533-position model. The record is from RNAcentral.
UCGAGAAUCUUCGGCAAUGGACGCAAGUCUGACCGAGCGACGCCGCGUGCGGGAUGAAGGUCUUCGGAUUGUAAACCGCUGUCAGAGGGGAUGAAGUGUACGGGAGUUAUCUCCCGUAUUUGACAGAGCCUCAGAGGAAGCACGGGCUAAGUUCGUGCCAGCAGCCGCGGUAAUACGAACUGUGCGAACGUUAUUCGGAAUCACUGGGCUUAAAGGGUGCGUAGGCGGCUGCCUAAGUCAGGUGUGAAAUCUCUCGGCUCAACCGGGAAACUGCGCUUGAUACUGGGCGGCUCGAGUGAGGUAGGGGUGUGUGGAACUUCCGGUGGAGCGGUGAAAUGUGUAGAUAUCGGAAGGAACGCCAGCAGCGAAAGCGGCACACUGGGCCUUUUCUGACGCUGAGGCACGAAAGCCAGGGGAGCGAACGG